GGUUAAGCGACUAAGCGUACACGGUGGAUGCCCUGGCAGUCAGAGGCGAUGAAGGACGUGCUAAUCUGCGAAAAGCGUCGGUAAGGUGAUAUGAACCGUUAUAACCGGCGAUGUCCGAAUGGGGAAACCCAGUGCAAUUCGUUGCACUAUCGUUAACUGAAUACAUAGGUUAACGAGGCGAACCGGGGGAACUGAAACAUCUAAGUACCCCGAGGAAAAGAAAUCAACCGAGAUUCCCCCAGUAGCGGCGAGCGAACGGGGAGCAGCCCAGAGUCUGAAUCAGCUUGUGUGUUAGUGGAACGGUCUGGAAAGUCCGACGGUACAGGGUGAUAGUCCCGUACACCAAAAUGCACAGGUUGUGAACUCGAAGAGUAGGGCGGGACACGUGGUAUCCUGUCUGAAUAUGGGGGGACCAUCCUCCAAGGCUAAAUACUCCUGACUGACCGAUAGUGAACCAGUACCGUGAGGGAAAGGCGAAAAGAACCCCGGCGAGGGGAGUGAAAAAGAACCUGAAACCGUGUACGUACAAGCAGUGGGAGCACCUUCGGGUGUGACUGCGUACCUUUUGUAUAAUGGGUCAGCGACUUAUAUUCUGUAGCAAGGUUAACCGUAUAGGGGAGCCGCAGGGAAACCGAGUCUUAACUGGGCGUUAAGUUGCAGGGUAUAGACCCGAAACCCGGUGAUCUAGCCAUGGGCAGGUUGAAGGUUGGGUAACACUAACUGGAGGACCGAACCGACUAAUGUUGAAAAAUUAGCGGAUGACUUGUGGCUGGGGGUGAAAGGCCAAUCAAACCGGGAGAUAGCUGGUUCUCCCCGAAAGCUAUUUAGGUAGCGCCUCGUGAAUUCAUCUUCGGGGGUAGAGCACUGUUUCGGCUAGGGGGUCAUCCCGACUUACCAACCCGAUGCAAACUACGAAUACCGAAGAAUGUUAUCACGGGAGACACACGGCGGGUGCUAACGUCCGUCGUGAAGAGGGAAACAACCCAGACCGCCAGCUAAGGUCCCAAAGUCAUGGUUAAGUGGGAAACGAUGUGGGAAGGCACAGACAGCCAGGAUGUUGGCUUAGAAGCAGCCAUCAUUUAAAGAAAGCGUAAUAGCUCACUGGUCGAGUCGGCCUGCGCGGAAGAUGUAACGGGGCUAAACCAUGCACCGAAGCUGCGGCAGCGACACUAUGUGUUGUUGGGUAGGGGAGCGUUCUGUAAGCCUGCGAAGGUGGCCUGUGAGGGCUGCUGGAGGUAUCAGAAGUGCGAAUGCUGACAUAAGUAACGAUAAAGCGGGUGAAAAGCCCGCUCGCCGGAAGACCAAGGGUUCCUGUCCAACGUUAAUCGGGGCAGGGUGAGUCGACCCCUAAGGCGAGGCCGAAAGGCGUAGUCGAUGGGAAACAGGUUAAUAUUCCUGUACUUGGUGUUACUGCGAAGGGGGGACGGAGAAGGCUAUGUUAGCCGGGCGACGGUUGUCCCGGUUUAAGCAUGUAGGCGGAGGUUCCAGGUAAAUCCGGUACCUUUUAACGCUGAGGUGUGAUGACGAGGCACUACGGUGCUGAAGUAACAAAUGCCCUGCUUCCAGGAAAAGCCUCUAAGCAUCAGGUAACAUUAAAUCGUACCCCAAACCGACACAGGUGGUCAGGUAGAGAAUACCAAGGCGCUUGAGAGAACUCGGGUGAAGGAACUAGGCAAAAUGGUGCCGUAACUUCGGGAGAAGGCACGCUGGUGUGUAGGUGAAGUCCCUGCGGACGGAGCUGAGACCAGUCGAAGAUACCAGCUGGCUGCAACUGUUUAUUAAAAACACAGCACUGUGCAAACACGAAAGUGGACGUAUACGGUGUGACGCCUGCCCGGUGCCGGAAGGUUAAUUGAUGGGGUUAUCCGUAAGGAGAAGCUCUUGAUCGAAGCCCCGGUAAACGGCGGCCGUAACUAUAACGGUCCUAAGGUAGCGAAAUUCCUUGUCGGGUAAGUUCCGACCUGCACGAAUGGCGUAAUGAUGGCCAGGCUGUCUCCACCCGAGACUCAGUGAAAUUGAACUCGCUGUGAAGAUGCAGUGUACCCGCGGCAAGACGGAAAGACCCCGUGAACCUUUACUAUAGCUUGACACUGAACAUUGAGCCUUGAUGUGUAGGAUAGGUGGGAGGCUUUGAAGCGUGGACGCCAGUCUGCGUGGAGCCAACCUUGAAAUACCACCCUUUAAUGUUUGAUGUUCUAACGUUGGCCCCUAAUCGGGGUUGCGGACAGUGUCUGGUGGGUAGUUUGACUGGGGCGGUCUCCUCCCAAAGAGUAACGGAGGAGCACGAAGGUUAGCUAAUCCUGGUCGGACAUCAGGAGGUUAGUGCAAUGGCAUAAGCUAGCUUGACUGCGAGCGUGACGGCGCGAGCAGGUGCGAAAGCAGGUCAUAGUGAUCCGGUGGUUCUGAAUGGAAGGGCCAUCGCUCAACGGAUAAAAGGUACUCCGGGGAUAACAGGCUGAUACCGCCCAAGAGUUCAUAUCGACGGCGGUGUUUGGCACCUCGAUGUCGGCUCAUCACAUCCUGGGGCUGAAGUAGGUCCCAAGGGUAUGGCUGUUCGCCAUUUAAAGUGGUACGCGAGCUGGGUUUAGAACGUCGUGAGACAGUUCGGUCCCUAUCUGCCGUGGGCGCUGGAGAAUUGAGGGGGGCUGCUCCUAGUACGAGAGGACCGGAGUGGACGCAUCACUGGUGUUCGGGUUGUCAUGCCAAUGGCACUGCCCGGUAGCUAAAUGCGGAAGAGAUAAGUGCUGAAAGCAUCUAAGCACGAAACUUGCCCCGAGAUGAGUUCUCCCUGAGACUAUAAGUCUCCUGAAGGAACGUUGAAGACGACGACGUUGAUAGGCCGGGUGUGUAAGCGCAGCGAUGCGUUGAGCUAACCGGUACUAAUGAACCGUGAGGCUUAACCUU
Molecule: ribosomal RNA, 2904 nt
Filed under: Klebsiella variicola
Lineage: Bacteria; Pseudomonadati; Pseudomonadota; Gammaproteobacteria; Enterobacterales; Enterobacteriaceae
Description: 23S ribosomal RNA
Rfam family: Bacterial large subunit ribosomal RNA
Source: RNAcentral